RNAcentral lists this ribosomal RNA (484 nucleotides) under Streptococcus mitis. Its description in RNAcentral is "bacterial SSU rRNA". It matches the Rfam family "Bacterial small subunit ribosomal RNA", at positions 28 to 497 of the family's 1533-position model. The record is from RNAcentral. Lineage: Bacteria; Bacillati; Bacillota; Bacilli; Lactobacillales; Streptococcaceae.
GACGAACGCUGGCGGCGUGCCUAAUACAUGCAAGUAGAACGCUGAAGGAGGAGCUUGCUUCUCUGGAUGAGUUGCGAACGGGUGAGUAACGCGUAGGUAACCUGCCUGGUAGCGGGGGAUAACUAUUGGAAACGAUAGCUAAUACCGCAUAAGAGUAGAUGUCGCAUGACAUUUACUUAAAAGGUGCAAUUGCAUCACUACCAGAUGGACCUGCGUUGUAUUAGCUAGUUGGUGAGGUAACGGCUCACCAAGGCAACGAUACAUAGCCGACCUGAGAGGGUGAUCGGCCACACUGGGACUGAGACACGGCCCAGACUCCUACGGGAGGCAGCAGUAGGGAAUCUUCGGCAAUGGAUGGAAGUCUGACCGAGCAACGCCGCGUGAGUGAAGAAGGUUUUCGGAUCGUAAAGCUCUGUUGUAAGAGAAGAACGAGUGUGAGAGUGGAAAGUUCACGCUGUGACGGUAUCUACCAGAAAGGACGGUA